UUUGUAGCAUCAUGUUUUGCCCGUGCCUUAAAAAAAAAGUUUAAGUUCCUAUAGCAAAUAUUCAUUAUCUAAAGCAACAUACAAUCAUAAAUUUCUCCUUCUUUCUUUCAUUUUCUUUUAUAAUUUACUUAUUCUCCAAGAUACCUUUUCAACAAUACACUCGGCAGCUGAGAAAAUCAACCCCAUAACUGCAAAUGCCUUACAAGAACUCCAACU
This 216-nucleotide unclassified non-coding RNA is filed under the name Hevea brasiliensis (rubber tree). The record is from RNAcentral. Lineage: Eukaryota; Viridiplantae; Streptophyta; Magnoliopsida; Malpighiales; Euphorbiaceae.